Molecule: ribosomal RNA, 447 nt
Filed under: uncultured bacterium
Lineage: Bacteria
Description: bacterial SSU rRNA
Rfam family: Bacterial small subunit ribosomal RNA
Source: RNAcentral
CCAGACUCCUACGGGAGGCAGCAGUGGGGAAUAUUGCACAAUGGGGGGAACCCUGAUGCAGCGACGCCGCGUGGGUGAAGGAGUAUUUCGGUAUGUAAAGCCCUAUCAGCAGGGAAGAACAAUGACGGUACCUGACUAAGAAGCACCGGCUAAAUACGUGCCAGCAGCCGCGGUAAUACGUAGGGGGCGAGCGUUAUCCGGAUUCACUGGGUGUAAAGGGAGCGUAGACGGCCAUGCAAGCCAGGGGUGAAAGCCCGGGGCCCAACCCCGGGACUGCUCUGGAAACUGCGUCGCUGGAGUACGGGAGGGGCAGGCGGAAUUCCUGGUGUAGCGGUGAAAUGCGUAGAUAUCAGGAGGAACACCGGCGGCGAAGGCGGCCUGCUGGACCGUGACUGACGUUGAGGCUCGAGAGCGUGGGGAGCAAACAGGAUUAGAUACCCGAGUAAA